GCGGGUGUGGCGGAAUUGGCAGACGCGCUAGAUUUAGGUUCUAGUGUCCAUUGGACGUAUGGGUUCAAGUCCCUUCUCCCGCA
Molecule: transfer RNA, 83 nt
Filed under: Lactobacillus sp.
Lineage: Bacteria; Bacillati; Bacillota; Bacilli; Lactobacillales; Lactobacillaceae
Also listed under: 1 other name
Description: tRNA-Leu
Rfam family: tRNA
About the family: Transfer RNA (tRNA) molecules are approximately 80 nucleotides in length.
Source: RNAcentral